Molecule: ribosomal RNA, 403 nt
Filed under: uncultured bacterium
Lineage: Bacteria
Description: bacterial SSU rRNA
Rfam family: Bacterial small subunit ribosomal RNA
Source: RNAcentral
UGGGGAAUUUUGCGCAAUGGGGGAAACCCUGGCGCAGCGACGCCGCGUGGAGGAUGAAGGCCUUCGGGUUGUAAACUCCUUUUCUUAGGGAAAAUAAUGAUGGUACCUAAGGAAUAAGCCACGGCUAACUCUGUGCCAGCAGCCGCGGUAAGACAGAGGUGGCGAGCGUUGUUCGGAAUUACUGGGCUUAAAGGGCGAGUAGGCGGUGGAGCAAGUCUGAGGUGGAAUCCUAUGGCUUAACCAUAGAACUGCCUUGGAUACUGUUUCACUUGAGUCAGUGAGGGGAGGGCGGAAUUCCCGGUGUAGCGGUGAAAUGCGUAGAUAUCGGGAGGAAGGCCAGUGGCGAAGGCGGCCCUCUGGUGCUGAACUGACGCUGAGGCGCGAAAGCGUGGGGAGCAAACAG